Eurytemora carolleeae is the source of this 221-nucleotide long non-coding RNA. RefSeq lists it as uncharacterized. The transcript has 3 exons. The record is from RefSeq and is a predicted model, not a curated record. Lineage: Eukaryota; Metazoa; Arthropoda; Copepoda; Calanoida; Temoridae.
UUCACUGUGCAUCUGUUUAGAAAAGAAAGAUGAGAAGAGAAGCUGGGUCGGGAGAAAUUGAUCAUUUUGACGUAGAAGAAGCUGAGGAAGGAUUAAGUAGAAGGAUGAUUGAAUACUGGUCAAACUUUGCCAGGACGGGGUCUCCAAAUAACCGGACUGGGUCUGCUUCUCCUCUUGAAGAUGUAGUUGAGUGGCCUCAAUACUCUCCUGAUACAAGGUAG